ACUCUAGGCGGUGGAUCACUCAGCUCGUGCGUCGAUGAAGCGCAGUGCGGCGUGAGUAAUGUGGUGCAGGACACAUUGAACUUAUCGACAUCUUGAACGCCAUUGCGGCUUUCUCCCGGAGCCACGCCUGUCUGAG
RNAcentral lists this ribosomal RNA (136 nucleotides) under Mytilus coruscus. Its description in RNAcentral is "5.8S ribosomal RNA". It matches the Rfam family "5.8S ribosomal RNA". Rfam says of the family: 5.8S ribosomal RNA (5.8S rRNA) is a component of the large subunit of the eukaryotic ribosome. Lineage: Eukaryota; Metazoa; Mollusca; Bivalvia; Mytilida; Mytilidae. The record is from RNAcentral.